UUGAAGAGUUUGAUCAUGGCUCAGAUUGAACGCUGGCGGCAGGCCUAACACAUGCAAGUCGAGCGGAUGACGGGAGCUUGCUCCUUGAUUCAGCGGCGGACGGGUGAGUAAUGCCUAGGAAUCUGCCUGGUAGUGGGGGACAACGUUUCGAAAGGAACGCUAAUACCGCAUACGUCCUACGGGAGAAAGCAGGGGACCUUCGGGCCUUGCGCUAUCAGAUGAGCCUAGGUCGGAUUAGCUAGUUGGUGAGGUAAAGGCUCACCAAGGCGACGAUCCGUAACUGGUCUGAGAGGAUGAUCAGUCACACUGGAACUGAGACACGGUCCAGACUCCUACGGGAGGCAGCAG
Molecule: ribosomal RNA, 348 nt
Filed under: Aurantiochytrium limacinum
Lineage: Eukaryota; Bigyra; Thraustochytrida; Thraustochytriidae
Description: partial Bacterial small subunit ribosomal RNA
Rfam family: Bacterial small subunit ribosomal RNA
Source: RNAcentral